Molecule: long non-coding RNA, 401 nt
Organism: Talpa occidentalis (Iberian mole)
Lineage: Eukaryota; Metazoa; Chordata; Mammalia; Eulipotyphla; Talpidae
Exons: 3
Source: RefSeq, a predicted model, not a curated record
CACUUCCGGCCGGGCGGCUGCGCGAGUGUGGGGCGUCGCGGGCGCGCGAUUCACCCCUUUUGUGGAGAAGGGGGCAGCGUGGGACGUCCUGACUCCGGCCCGACAGCCUCCCGAGAGCCUGGGAACGUGCCAGGAGUGAAGGACACGGAUCUUCCCGGACGCGCGGCGAGGAGAGACACGCGGCUUGAUGCCGGCUUCCUCCCGACCCACCGACCGCACCGCCCUUCGGAGUCGAGCCUCUUCCACCUCCCGAGCCUGCUCGCCGCCCGCUCUCCGGUUCUCUGGCCCCAGGCGGGCACCGCUCCCGCUGGCGCCCGAGGGGAUGGAAUCAGGCCCCCGGGGCGGCCGUGGCCGUGGCGACCGGAGUGAGCCAGUUUGCUGAAGCGGAGCAUGGCGGCGAC